AUUCAGUGGUAGAAAUCUUGCCUUCCAUGCAGGAGACCCGGGUUCGAUUCCUGG
This 54-nucleotide transfer RNA is filed under the name Loxodonta africana (African savanna elephant). The record is from Rfam by way of RNAcentral. Lineage: Eukaryota; Metazoa; Chordata; Mammalia; Proboscidea; Elephantidae.